Molecule: ribosomal RNA, 239 nt
Filed under: uncultured bacterium
Lineage: Bacteria
Description: partial small subunit ribosomal RNA
Rfam family: Bacterial small subunit ribosomal RNA
Source: RNAcentral
AGAGCGAACGCUGGCGGCAGGCCUAACACAUGCAAGUCGAGCGCCCGUAGCAAUACGGGAGCGGCAGACGGGAUAGUAACACGUGGGAACGCGCCCUUCGGUUCGGAAUAACUCAGGGAAACUUGAGCUAAUACCGAAUACGCCCUUACGGGGAAAGAUUUAUUGCCGAAGGAACGGCCCGCGUCCGAUUAGCUAGUUGGUGAGGUAAUGGCUCACCAAGGCUACGAUCGGUAGCUGGU